Molecule: ribosomal RNA, 506 nt
Filed under: uncultured bacterium
Lineage: Bacteria
Description: partial 16S ribosomal RNA
Rfam family: Bacterial small subunit ribosomal RNA
Source: RNAcentral
AGUGAACGCUGGCGGUAGGCCUAACACAUGCAAGUCGAACGGCAGCACAGGAGAGCUUGCUCUCUGGGUGGCGAGUGGCGGACGGGUGAGGAAUACAUCGGAAUCUACUUUUUCGUGGGGGAUAACGUAGGGAAACUUACGCUAAUACCGCAUACGACCUACGGGUGAAAGCAGGGGACCUUCGGGCCUUGCGCGAUUGAAUGAGCCGAUGUCGGAUUAGCUAGUUGGCGGGGUAAAGGCGCACCAAGGCGACGAUCCGUAGCUGGUCUGAGGGGAGGAUCAGCCACACUGGAACGGAGACACGGUCGAGACUGCUACGGGAGGAAGCAGUGGGGAAUAUUGGACAAUGGGCGCAAGCCUGAGCCAGCCAUACCGCGUGGGUGAAGAAGGCCUUCGGGUUGUAAAGCCCUUUUGUUGGGAAAGAAAUCCAGCUGGCUAAUACCCGGUUGGGAUGACGGUACCCAAAGAAUAAGCACCGGCUAACUUCGUGCCAGCAGCCGCCGUAA